GUGGCGCACGGGUGAGUAACACGUGAAUGACAUGCCCUUCAGAGGGGGAUAGCCCAGGGAAACUUGGAUUAAUACCCCAUGGUCUCGCAAGAGUAAAGGUGGCGCAAGCUGCCGCUGAGGGAUUGGUUCGCGCCCUAUCAGCUAGUUGGUGAGGUAACGGCUCACCAAGGCGAUGACGGGUACUUGGUCUGAGAGGACGAUCAGGCACACUGGAACUGAGACACGGUCCAGACACCUACGGGUGGCAGCAGUCGAGAAUAAUUCACAAUGGGGGCAACCCUGAUGGUGCAACGCCGCGCGGAGGAUGAAGGUCUUCGGAUUGUAAACUCCUGUCAUCCGGGAGAAAGACCUGGCUGUGAGUAGCAGACAGGGUUGAUAGUACCGGAAGAGGAAGGGACGGCUAACUUCGUGCCAGCAGCCGCGGUAAUACGAAGGUCCCGAGCGUUGUUCGGAAUCACUGGGCGUAAAGGGAGCGUAGGCGGUUUGGUAAGUCAGAUGUGAAAUCCCGGGGCUCAACCCCGGAACUGCAUCCGAUACUGCCAGACUUGAGCAAUGGAGAGGUAGCUGGAAUUCUCGGUGUAGCAGUGAAAUGCGUGGAUAUCGAGAGGAACACUUGUGGCGAAGGCGGGCUACCGGACAUUUGCCGACGCUGAGGCUCGAAGGCCGGGGGAGCGAAAGGGAUUAGAUACCCCUGUAGUCCCG
Molecule: ribosomal RNA, 702 nt
Filed under: uncultured Verrucomicrobiaceae bacterium
Lineage: Bacteria; Pseudomonadati; Verrucomicrobiota; Verrucomicrobiia; Verrucomicrobiales; Verrucomicrobiaceae
Description: bacterial SSU rRNA
Rfam family: Bacterial small subunit ribosomal RNA
Source: RNAcentral